CAGCCGCCGCGGUAAUACGAAGGGGGCUAGCGUUGCUCGGAAUGACUGGGCGUAAAGGGCGCGUAGGCGGAUUGCGCAGUCAGAUGUGAAAUUCCUGGGCUUAACCUGGGGGCUGCAUUUGAGACGCGUAGUCUAGAGUGUGAAAGAGGGUCGUGGAAUUCCCAGUGUAGCGGUGAAAUGCGUAGAGAUGUGGAGGAACACCAGUGGCGAAGGCGACUCUCUGGUCUGUAACUGACGCUGAGGAGCGAAAGCGUGGGGAGCGAACAGGAUUAGAUACCCCCGUAGUCCCUGUCUCUUAUAC
Molecule: ribosomal RNA, 301 nt
Filed under: uncultured bacterium
Lineage: Bacteria
Description: partial 16S ribosomal RNA
Rfam family: Bacterial small subunit ribosomal RNA
Source: RNAcentral